AACCCUUUCUUGUGGUCGUUCUUUCUGCAUCUCUUGUCCCCAUUCCCUAUCCCUGACUCUCUUGCCCCAGGUUGAUGUCCUGCAGGUUGGGACAACUGGUACCCAAUGUGGGGCUGGAUAGAGUUGGGAAUCUGGGAACUUCAGUGCUCAUUAGAGGGACGAGCCCGUCCAUGCAGUGAGGUGUCCACGACAAGGUCGAUUGUGAGCCUCAGUUGGAAGAAGACCCAGCGCUUGGGACUUUCGAUUCAUGAGCACCACCUAUGUGGAAAAGUCUUAGGAGACACCUGUGAAAGGAUCACUCCGUCCCAAAGGGAUCGUAACCCCCAGGUUGAGAAGCACUGUUUUGAAAAUCAGCUCCAGCCAUUUGGCCUCACUACUCUUUUGUUCUUCAGCCAUCUGAGGACACAGAACUCCUACCUUAGAGGGACACACAAACAAG
RNAcentral lists this long non-coding RNA (439 nucleotides) under Cricetulus griseus (Chinese hamster). Its description in RNAcentral is "lncRNA (ENSCGRG00015042484.1)". The record is from RNAcentral. Lineage: Eukaryota; Metazoa; Chordata; Mammalia; Rodentia; Cricetidae.